Molecule: ribosomal RNA, 433 nt
Filed under: Escherichia coli
Lineage: Bacteria; Pseudomonadati; Pseudomonadota; Gammaproteobacteria; Enterobacterales; Enterobacteriaceae
Also listed under: 1 other name
Description: partial 23S ribosomal RNA
Rfam family: Bacterial large subunit ribosomal RNA
Source: RNAcentral
CACUAACUGGAGGACCGAACCGACUAAUGUUGAAAAAUUAGCGGAUGACUUGUGGCUGGGGGUGAAAGGCCAAUCAAACCGGGAGAUAGCUGGUUCUCCCCGAAAGCUAUUUAGGUAGCGCCUCGUGAAUUCAUCUCCGGGGGUAGAGCACUGUUUCGGCAAGGGGGUCAUCCCGACUUACCAACCCGAUGCAAACUGCGAAUACCGGAGAAUGUUAUCACGGGAGACACACGGCGGGUGCUAACGUCCGUCGUGAAGAGGGAAACAACCCAGACCGCCAGCUAAGGUCCCAAAGUCAUGGUUAAGUGGGAAACGAUGUGGGAAGGCCCAGACAGCCAGGAUGUUGGCUUAGAAGCAGCCAUCAUUUAAAGAAAGCGUAAUAGCUCACUGGUCGAGUCGGCCUGCGCGGAAGAUGUAACGGGGCUAAACCAUG